RNAcentral lists this long non-coding RNA (587 nucleotides) under Numida meleagris (helmeted guineafowl). RNAcentral's name for it is "lncRNA (ENSNMEG00000010149.1)". Lineage: Eukaryota; Metazoa; Chordata; Aves; Galliformes; Numididae. The record is from RNAcentral.
GGAAAGGAUAAACAUGGAAUGAUAGGCCUGGGAUUACUACAGCCCAGUUUAACUUUUCCUACUACAUGAAGUAUACGGCUGCUUUCCUGGUGUGUUCUCAACAUUAAAUUCACUUCCAUUCAAGCUGCUGUGCUGUAAGACCAGCUAUCAUACUCCCUGCUUCUGACUGCUCUUUUUUUCCAGAAAUGAGCAAAAUCAGUCUGCAUGAAGCCUGCCAGAGUCCUGGACCUCAGUUGCAUAGAGUUGAGCAGACUGACCUGGAAUCGAGGCUGACAACAAAAAGUAGGUGGGAGUCAUCUCUGGCAGCUGAACUGUCUGGAUGUCUGCAGCCUUCUGUGAACAUCAGAACUGAUUUCUACCCUGGAACAGAAGAGAGGUGUUUACGCUCUGUGUUGCCCCCUCCCUUCAAGAGUACAAAGUUACUUGUUCCUCACAGUGAGAUGUCUUCUGGCUGCUUAAUGAGGUUUUGAAUGGCAGUGAACAGCUUUGCUUCCAAAAGUAAUGGCUGUAAGUAUUCACACUAUUUGAAUCAAUACUAAGUAGAUCAGGAAGUAACUUGGGUAGUGGGGAUAGUCUCUGCAUCUUUG